AUGCGGAACCAGCAAAACGACAAAGCUCUUGACUCUUUACUGGCGCGUGGAAGCCAACUCCCUCUCCUAAAAGUUGAGCUUGUACGCUAAGGUCCCUCCUUCCUCGGUCAGUCCUCCCUCGUCUUCUCGUUCAGUUUGCUUCCAAACUAAGAAAAGGCAACGGUUGUGGACUCCAUUUUCCAAACCAUAAUUCUGUAAUCUACUCUUAAAAUUCUUAAUUUCUCGCUAUUUUCUAUUACUUGUAAUUUGCAAUGUCUCUCUAAAGUCUAAAAAGAAGGAAAAAAGGUCUCUGUGCUGGAUCUUUGACUACGUCCAUGGAGGAAUCUCACAGCAACCUCCCUACUAGCCAUUUACUGGGCUCUGUUCCUGCUGUGGUCAGUGAAGAAAAAAGUACCAUCACCUAUGGAGUCCCUGAAGCAAAUAUGCAAACAUUCCCAUCAAAUAAUAAUGGAGGAGGUAGCAGCCGGGGUUAUCAAACUCUUGGAAGUCCACUGGUUAUGGUGUUUAAAUAUUUUAUUUCCAUGGUUUUGAAUGUGUUAUUGUGGAUUAUUAAGCUUGGUUAUGUUCUUAUUUUUAUCCUUGGCAAUUCUCGCUAUUAUUGACUUUUCGUGAAUCAU
Molecule: long non-coding RNA, 617 nt
Organism: Hevea brasiliensis (rubber tree)
Lineage: Eukaryota; Viridiplantae; Streptophyta; Magnoliopsida; Malpighiales; Euphorbiaceae
Exons: 3
Source: RefSeq, a predicted model, not a curated record